Long non-coding RNA from Brassica napus (rape), 1210 nucleotides. RefSeq lists it as uncharacterized. The record is from RefSeq and is a predicted model, not a curated record. Lineage: Eukaryota; Viridiplantae; Streptophyta; Magnoliopsida; Brassicales; Brassicaceae. The transcript has 7 exons.
UUUUAGGACAGUGAACAAUAAUUUCAAAUUAUUUUUUGGUCUAUUUAAUUUUUAUUAUUAUUUAGAAAUAUAUAAUUUAUUACUUUAAUGGUAUAAUUGUAAUAUAUUAGUUAUUUUCUAUUUUAUAUUUUAUAGUAAAAAUAAAUAUUUUUUUUAACUUUGCCACAUCAGCUUUUUGGAUUACGUUUUUCAACCACUCAUUUUGAUAUAUAAGGACAUCGUAUUCUAAUCAAGAUGUACAGUAAACAUAUUUUCUGAUGACAUUACGCCUGAUGAUGAAUCGCCAAUGUUGAAUCUUAUAAAUUUCUCCGAUUCACCCAACCAAUAUCUUCCAUUAAUGGACCAACACGAAGCCCAUAAUUAUCAUGAAGAACAAGUCGAUUCACAUGAGUCUUUCUUACGAGAAACUCUUUUUAACGGACAUUCAAGUGAACAACAACGUUCCUUCAGUCAAUCCAUGUUGAAUUCAGGAAUCAAGUGUUUUCACAAUGAACCAAAGAGUGGUUGGUCAAAACCUCGAGCAAGCAAACAACGGAUUUGCACAUCCAACUAUAUUCUCCUGAGUUUCCAAACUAUCAUCAAGAGCAAGUUAUUCCAAUACCUUUUAUGAUACAACAAGAAAAUGCCGCUCCAUUUGGUGCACCUUUUCCUCAGCAAUUACACCGUUUCUCUAGCGAUAAUAACUUUCCGUUUAUAAUCGUUACAAAAUAUAACAACAACUUCUCAAAACUUGGUUUAUCUGCAGCAUCAACAACAGUGUUUUCAUGCUCAUACCCUCUCAACAAGAGAACAUAUGACAAGCAACCAAAAUGAUGGUUAUUAUAAUUUGGAUCAAAUUAUGGCGGUGACUUCAGAACCUUCAAGUCUUAUAGGCCCUCCAAACAAUCUCAUUCCCAAUCGCUACAAACUGCACAAUGUGAAGUAUUGCUAUGACAAUCAAUCUAAAGGCAAAGCUUUAUAGACUAGUUGAGCCUCAUACAUUAACAGAACAACCUACCGGUGACAACAAAGAGACAUGACGAUGAAGAUGGAUUAAAAUAAAGUAACCAAAGUUUAACGAUGACAAUGUUAUUAAGAUAAGGUUUACAAAUGUUAAUAGCAAUAUUAACUCAAAAGAAUAUUCCUUAAGCUUAGAGCUUGUCGACGUUAUUGUGAUCACAAACUUUAUUUUAACAGCAUUAUAUCAUAUUUUUUUCUUUCCAUGUUAGCU